RNAcentral lists this ribosomal RNA (424 nucleotides) under uncultured bacterium. Its description in RNAcentral is "bacterial SSU rRNA". It matches the Rfam family "Bacterial small subunit ribosomal RNA", at positions 355 to 796 of the family's 1533-position model. The record is from RNAcentral.
UGGGGAAUAUUGGACAAUGGGCGAAAGCCUGAUCCAGCCAUGCCGCGUGAGUGAUGAAGGCCUUAGGGUUGUAAAGCUCUUUUGUCAGGGAAGAUAAUGACGGUACCUGAAGAAUAAGCACCGGCUAACUUCGUGCCAGCAGCCGCGGUAAUACGAAGGGUGCUAGCGUUGUUCGGAAUUACUGGGCGUAAAGCGCGCGUAGGCGGCGACUCAAGUCAGGGGUGAAAUCCUUGGGCUCAACCCAAGAAUUGCCUUUGAAACUGUGUUGCUAGAGUGUCGGAGGGGAUAGCGGAAUUGCUAAUGUAGAGGUGAAAUUCGUAGAUAUUAGCAGGAACACCGGUGGCGAAGGCGGCUAUCUGGACGACAACUGACGCUGAGGCGCGAAAGCGUGGGGAUCAAACAGGAUUAGAUACCCCCGUAGUCC